AAACAAUAUGCUUUCUGGUACUAUUCCAUCCACCAUUGGAAAACACCUAUUAUUGAUGCAGAUGUGAGUUUUUCAAGUUAUGUUUGGUUCAAAUUACAAUUUCUCAUGUUUACUGAGUUCAUCCAUUUGCAGUUUAUGUGACGGGAGUGGACCCCACUGGCUUUAAUGUUUCUGGAAAAGGGUCUUUAGUAAUAUCAUGAUUCCUAUUGGGUUUUUGGAAUACGGGUUUUAAUGUUGAUACUGUGGAGUACAAGAAUAUCAGCUUCACUGUUUAGGAUGUCGGGGGUCAGGACAAGAUCAGACCAUUAUGGAGGCACUAUUUCCAAAAGACACAGAGACUCAUUUUUGUUGUUGACAGCAAUGGCAGAGACCGUGUAGUUAAGGCGAGGGAUGAACUCCCAGGAUGCUGAAUGACUUAAAUUUUCUUCAAAAAAGAAGUAAGCUUUCGGAUCAAAGCGAAGUUGAGAAUAGGGUGUUAGUUGAUGGUAAAUUGAUAACCAGUAGAGGCACAUCCAUGGAGUUCUUGCUUGCGAUUGUUGAGAAGCUAUUUGGCUGCAAGAAGGCAUUGGAUCUUGCUGUCAAUGAGAACUUUAAAUAGACAUAUAACUAUUAUGUUGGCAUUGUACUUUUGUGAAUGGAUUAAAAUGAAUGAUUGUAUUUAAUUGAAUGAAUGAGUGAUUGUGUUUAAUUGAAUG
Magnolia sinica is the source of this 695-nucleotide long non-coding RNA. RefSeq lists it as uncharacterized. NCBI's taxonomy places the organism in Eukaryota, Viridiplantae, Streptophyta, Magnoliopsida, Magnoliales, Magnoliaceae. The record is from RefSeq and is a predicted model, not a curated record. The transcript is spliced from 3 exons.